RNAcentral lists this unclassified non-coding RNA (253 nucleotides) under uncultured Bacteriovoracaceae bacterium. Its description in RNAcentral is "contains 16S-23S intergenic spacer region". It matches the Rfam family "Bacterial small subunit ribosomal RNA", at positions 524 to 776 of the family's 1533-position model. Lineage: Bacteria; Pseudomonadati; Bdellovibrionota; Bacteriovoracia; Bacteriovoracales; Bacteriovoracaceae. The record is from RNAcentral.
UACGAAGGGUGCAAGCGUUGUUCGGAAUCAUUGGGCGUAAAGCGCGCGCAGGCGGAUUGAUAAGUCAGGUGUGAAAUCUCGGGGCUCAACCCCGAAACUGCGCCUGAAACUAUUAGUCUAGAAUGUCAGAGGGGGUAGGGGAAUUUCACGUGUAGGGGUAAAAUCCGUAGAGAUGUGAAGGAACACCGGUGGCGAAGGCGCCUACCUGGAUGACUAUUGACGCUGAGGCGCGAAAGCGUGGGGAGCAAACAGG